RNAcentral lists this long non-coding RNA (604 nucleotides) under Phoenix dactylifera (date palm). RNAcentral's name for it is "long non-coding RNA (PDAC_LNC014338)". The record is from RNAcentral. Lineage: Eukaryota; Viridiplantae; Streptophyta; Magnoliopsida; Arecales; Arecaceae.
UCUCCAUCUUCUGGAAGCAAUCUAACGAUGGCAUGGGCGAGAAAGAUGGCGAUGGAGUUACGCACGAAAAACGUAAUCCAGACCCAUAGACAACGGUGCAUGCUCCUCCACUUGGAGGGGCUGUCCUAUCCUCCUCAAGUGGACGCGUCUCAAAGAGGGUGGCAUUAAACAAUCCUGAGUACGAGCAAACUUGGGCAGCUAUUGAAUUCUCCAACUGCCCAAGCACCUUCCCCUUCCCCUCAUCCAACGACAUCAAGUACAAUGCUUUUGGUCGGCGAGAUUUUUUUUUUUCACCCUUACAGGUAGGAAAUUAACCAGUCCAACGUAACGUGAAGUGCGAAUCAAGCGUCGUGAGCUUGGAAUAAGAGGCUAGUUUCAGCAGAGCUCUUGGGAUGCUCCCUUCAGGUGGAAUCAAGUCAUUUUUAAACUGAAAGUGCUCAUGUUUGUAUUACCAUGGAGCCAGACAAACUCACCGAAUUCAUCAGUCUCUCUCUCUCUCUCUCUCUCAGCCAUUUUUUAGGUGGGUGGUGGUGUAGCACACUCUUGUGCCCAAUGAAUUCAAAGACAAGAUUAUUUUUUUUGGAUGAAAAUAUACCGACCGUGG